AGAACUUAGCAGAGAUGCUUUGGUGCCUUUCGGGAACUCUGAGACAGGUGCUGCAUGGCUGUCGUCAGCUCGUGUUGUGAAAUGUUGGGUUAAGUCCCGCAACGAGCGCAACCCUUUAUCCUUUGUUGCCAGCGGUUAGGCCGGGAACUCAAAGGAGACUGCCAGUGAUAAACUGGAGGAAGGUGGGGAUGACGUCAAGUCAUCAUGGCCCUUACGAGUAGGGCUACACACGUGCUACAAUGGCGCAUACAAAGAGAAGCGACCUCGCGAGAGCAAGCGGACCUCAUAAAGUGCGUCGUAGUCCGGAUUGGAGUCUGCAACUCGACUCCAUGAAGUCGGAAUCGCUAGUAAUCGUGGAUCAGAAUGCCACGGUGAAUACGUUCCCGGGCCUUGUACACACCGCCCGUCACACCAUGGGAGUGGGUUGCAAAAGAAGUAGGUAGCUUAACCUUCGGGAGGGCGCUUACCACUUUGUGAUUCAUGACUGGGGUGAAGUCGUAACAAGGUAAGCGUAGUGCU
This 519-nucleotide ribosomal RNA is filed under the name uncultured bacterium. RNAcentral describes it as "bacterial SSU rRNA". It matches the Rfam family "Bacterial small subunit ribosomal RNA", at positions 992 to 1509 of the family's 1533-position model. The record is from RNAcentral.